UCACAUGAUUCGGAAGGCAUUCUGGGCUCAGCCAGCGGAUUUCGUUACGCGGGCAUUUUGCUGUACCACGGGCAGAAAUAUUGCCGUGAAGUGCCUUCGUAACUUGAAUUUUUCGUUAAAUGGGGUCUUCGUUAGCUGGGGUUCGACUGUAUUUAUAUUUCUUGCAGCCUGUUAACACUGUACCUCCUGCAAAAAUAUCUGCUGGAGUUUAUGCUGCACUAAAACCUCUAUGACAUAGUUGCACUCACUGCUAAAAGGAAAGCCAGAGGAGCAGACACAUCCCAGCAAAACACUGAUGCAGUUUUUACACAUUAAAUGGAAGUGAUAUAAGAUACAGUCCUGAUUAAAAGGUUUAAGACCACUUGAAAACUGGCAAAAAUCAUAUUUUGCAGGGUUGGAUCUUAACAAAUGUUGUUACUAAGAAAAUUUUUUAUUCUCAAAUGCAGACAUUUCAAAGCUAAAUGACAUGAUUUUGAAAAUGAGAAGUGAUAUUAAGUAUAUUCAUUGUUAAUCACAGAAUCAUAAUUCAUAUAUGAUUUUAUUGAUAGUUAAUUAUGUUUAACUGCUCAGCACUGAUCAGAAUAUAACCAGGAAUAAGUUUAACCUGUGUGAUAGAUCAGAAAAUGUAAUAUAGACGGGCUUCACACAGAGUCUGUCCUUAGUGUGUGUGCGUGUGUGUGUGUGUGUGGCAGCUCCAAUUAUAGAGCCAGCAUUCCUCACUAGUUUGUCUCCUCUCAUUUCUAAAACAUGUAUCAAACAGACAAAUAUGCAACAAUAAGAAAAAACCUUCUUCCCAGCACUAUACACCCACUCUCCUGUUGGCAUAUUUCUGCUGUUUCCUGUUCACCAGUGGAUCAAUGGAUUCAUGUAAAUGUUGAAAUAUGAAUCAUGGCCAUGAGAAUAAUCUAAAUGUACAUCCACCACAUGGUCAAAUAUUACUGAACUGGUGGUCCAAAUCUCCACAGGAUGCCUUUAAGCAGUCAGGAUCUGUCUGUGGAAUAGUUUCAAGGAUCAUUUGUUUUGGAUCACCUGGAGAGUUUCCCUCCUUUCUCCUGCAGGGGUUUCCUCUCUAUCAGCAGUGCUUCCAUCUGUGCAGCCCGUCCAGUUUUCCCACCAGAGGAGACAUUUCAGGACUACGACCCACAAAGUGGAGACCUACGUCUUUCAUAUGUUCCGGCACUACGGCUUCAGCUGGAUGAGAAAGAGCGUCGACUACUUCCUGCUGCAGUCCAACUCAAAGUACAUCACCUGGUGGUCGAUGGCCCUCAGCCUCCUCAUCGUCACCUCUGGGUACCUGCGGCUACUCUUCCUCAAAAGCCUCUUUGUCAGCAAUACCGGCACAGAGGGCGAGAAGCCUCGGUGCUGAUAGACUCAAACGAAAACCAAAAGAAAAAGAAUUUAAAAAAUAAAAAUGUCUGGAUUUGUGUGGAGGAACGGCAGACACGAACGAAUUCAAAGCAGUGAUGGUUCUUUCUCCUUGAAUGAAUAAAUAUUAGAAA
This is a long non-coding RNA of Oreochromis niloticus (Nile tilapia), 1499 nucleotides long. RefSeq lists it as uncharacterized. Lineage: Eukaryota; Metazoa; Chordata; Actinopteri; Cichliformes; Cichlidae. The record is from RefSeq and is a predicted model, not a curated record. The transcript has 2 exons.